CUCGUAGGCGGUUCGUCGCGUCCGGUGUGAAAGUCCAUCGCUUAACGGUGGAUCCGCGCCGGGUACGGGCGGGCUUGAGUGCGGUAGGGGAGACUGGAAUUCCCGGUGUAACGGUGGAAUGUGUAGAUAUCGGGAAGAACACCAAUGGCGAAGGCAGGUCUCUGGGCCGUUACUGACGCUGAGGAGCGAAAGCGUGGGGAGCGAACG
RNAcentral lists this ribosomal RNA (207 nucleotides) under uncultured bacterium. RNAcentral describes it as "partial 16S ribosomal RNA". It matches the Rfam family "Bacterial small subunit ribosomal RNA", at positions 568 to 774 of the family's 1533-position model. The record is from RNAcentral.